This 73-nucleotide transfer RNA is filed under the name Caudoviricetes sp. Its description in RNAcentral is "tRNA-Ile". It matches the Rfam family "tRNA". From Rfam's summary of the family: Transfer RNA (tRNA) molecules are approximately 80 nucleotides in length. Their secondary structure includes four short double-helical elements and three loops (D, anti-codon, and T loops). Further hydrogen bonds mediate the characteristic L-shaped molecular structure. tRNAs have two regions of fundamental functional importance: the anti-codon, which is responsible for specific mRNA codon recognition, and the 3' end, to which the tRNAs corresponding amino acid is attached (by aminoacyl-tRNA synthetases). tRNAs cope with the degeneracy of the genetic code in two manners: having more than one tRNA (with a specific anti-codon) for a particular amino acid; and 'wobble' base-pairing, i.e. permitting non-standard base-pairing at the 3rd anti-codon position. The record is from RNAcentral. Lineage: Duplodnaviria; Heunggongvirae; Uroviricota; Caudoviricetes.
AGCCAUGUGGCGCAAUGGUUAGCGCAGAACGCUUAUACCGUUAAGGUUGUGGGUUCAAGUCCCGCCAUGGCUA